CGAUAGCUAAUCCCGCAUAAUAUUAAUUAUUGCAUGAUAAUUGAUUGAAAGAUGCAAGCGCAUCACUAGUAGAUGGACCUGCGUUGUAUUAGCUAGUUGGUAAGGUAAGAGCUUACCAAGGCGACGAUACAUAGCCGACCUGAGAGGGUGAUCGGCCACACUGGGACUGAGACACGGCCCAGACUCCUACGGGAGGCAGCAGUAGGGGAUCUUCGGCAAUGGACGAAAGUCUGACCGAGCAACGCCGCGUGAGUGAAGAAGGUUUUCGGAUCGUAAAGCUCUGUUGUAAGUCAAGAAUGUGUGUGAGAGUGGAAAGUUCACACAGUGACGUAGCUACCAGAAAGGACGCA
RNAcentral lists this ribosomal RNA (350 nucleotides) under Streptococcus mutans. Its description in RNAcentral is "bacterial SSU rRNA". It matches the Rfam family "Bacterial small subunit ribosomal RNA", at positions 157 to 496 of the family's 1533-position model. The record is from RNAcentral. Lineage: Bacteria; Bacillati; Bacillota; Bacilli; Lactobacillales; Streptococcaceae.